UACGAGGGGAGCAAGCGUUGUUCGGAUUUACUGGGCGUAAAGGGCGCGUAGGCGGCCACGACAAGUCACUUGUGAAAUCUCCGGGCUUAACUCGGAACGGUCAAGUGAUACUGUCGGGCUAGAGUACAGAAGGGGCAACUGGAAUUCUCGGUGUAGCGGUGAAAUUCGUAGAUAUUGGGAAGAACACCAGUGGCGAAGGCGGCUAACUGGUCCAGAUCUGACGCUGAGGUGCGAAAGCGUGGGGAGCAAACAGG
RNAcentral lists this ribosomal RNA (254 nucleotides) under uncultured bacterium. Its description in RNAcentral is "partial 16S ribosomal RNA". It matches the Rfam family "Bacterial small subunit ribosomal RNA", at positions 524 to 776 of the family's 1533-position model. The record is from RNAcentral.